Molecule: ribosomal RNA, 329 nt
Filed under: uncultured eukaryote
Lineage: Eukaryota
Description: partial 18S ribosomal RNA
Rfam family: Eukaryotic small subunit ribosomal RNA
Source: RNAcentral
CCCUUAGAUGUUCUGGGCCGCACGCGCGCUACACUGAUGCAUUCAACGAGUCUAAAACCUGCUCUGAUAGGGGUGGGUAAUCUUUUGAAUGUGCAUCGUGAUUGGGAUAGAUGAUUGCAAUUUUUCAUCUUCAACGAGGAAUGCCUAGUAAACGCAAGUCAUCAGCUUGCAUUGAUUACGUCCCUGCCCUUUGUACACACCGCCCGUCGCUCCUACCGAUUGAAUGAUCCGAUGAAUAUCAUGGAUUGAGGAUGCAAGUAGGUUCGCCUAUCUUCAUCUUCGAGAAGUGAAGUAAAUCUUAUCAGUUAGAGGAAGGAGAAGUCGUAACA